CAACCCUUCAUCCUAACUUCUCUGAGUGACAAAAGGCACCCUAAUGGCUCUAUAUCCUAUUAGGAAUGUCGGCCAAUGUUCCUGGAAUAGUAUAGAUCAUUAUUCUUGUGUGUGGGGCUCUCCUCUGAUCCUACCUAGCAUUUGGCUGUGGAGACAAAGAGCAUCAGGAGUGUCCCACACACAGCUACAUAGUUAAUUUGAGGCUACCCUUGGCAGCAUGAGACACCAUAUCAAAAGCCAAAUCAACAAAACACCAAAAACAUACAUAAAAAUUUUUAGAUAAUUUUAGCUAUUUGGAAUAGUAAUAUUACUUAGCUAUAGGAUACUUCCUCAGUUAAUAAUACAGGAUGCUAAUCUUAACUGCUAACCAGUUAUGUAGUGUAUGAUAACAAAAGGUUGAAAGAAUAGUCAUUUUAGGUAAUAACCUUGGAAAAUACAGUUCAGAAAGUAAUUUACCCAUUCCUAAUACAAUUUUAGAAAUAUAUAACUGAUACAUCUACAUCUGGUUAGAACACUACUACAAAAUUAUUGAAUCAAAGAUUUCAAGUAGUGUUUUUUUCUCCCCUGUGGGUCUAUCUUCAUUGUAAAAUCACCUUUAUUGUAACUUGUGUUUCUUCACUUGCCAUCAACACACAUAUUCACUUAAUUUUCUUCUUAUCUUAAUGAAUUAUACCUUUGGUUAGUUGUAAGCAAUUCUUUUAUUAUACUUGGCUCAUUUCAUUUUAAGCAAAAGAGGUAUGUAUAGCCUUUAAUGUACAAGCAUACAUUUUAAAAAAUAUUAUAAUGAGAUAUUUCUUAGUCUAGAGCAUGUACAUAUAAGGCCAAAUAGUUUUCAUGUGUAAUCAUUUGAUUUUUGUCAGUGUUCAGGCAUCUCCAAAACAUUGAAAAACUCUUGUUAGCACUUGAAUAGUGAACCAGUUAAAGUUUCCCCCUCAUUUUGUAUUUGAAUUCUAAAUAAUAUUUCUAUCUACAGAGCAGCCCAGAAAACAAUAAAAAUCUCACCUCAUAGAACCCUGUUAUCUUGGAAUUUCUGCAGUUGUUUAGCACUCCUCAAGUAAGCCUUUGUUUUUUAGACUAUUUCAGGUAAAA
RNAcentral lists this long non-coding RNA (1089 nucleotides) under Rattus norvegicus (Norway rat). RNAcentral describes it as "long non-coding RNA NONRATT020374". Lineage: Eukaryota; Metazoa; Chordata; Mammalia; Rodentia; Muridae. The record is from RNAcentral.